This 506-nucleotide ribosomal RNA is filed under the name uncultured bacterium. RNAcentral's name for it is "partial 16S ribosomal RNA". It matches the Rfam family "Bacterial small subunit ribosomal RNA", at positions 28 to 523 of the family's 1533-position model. The record is from RNAcentral.
GAUGAACGCUAGCUACAGGCUUAACACAUGCAAGUCGAGGGGUAACAAGAGAAAAGCUUGCUCUUCUUGUUGACGACCGGCGCACGGGUGAGUAACGCGUAUCCAACCUGCCCAUAACUAGGGAAUAACCUUGCGAAAGUAAGACUAAUACCCUAUAAUUUCCUUUGAAGGCAUCGGAUUAGGAAUAAAGAUUUAUCGGUUAUGGAUGGGGAUGCGUCUGAUUAGCUUGUUGGCGGGGUAACGGCCCACCAAGGCAACGAUCAGUAGGGGUUCUAAGAGGAAGGUCCCCCACAUUGGAACUGAGACAAGGUCCAAACUCCUACGGGAGGCAGCAGUGAGGAAUAUUGGUCAAUGGGCGAAAGCCUGAACCAGCCAAGUAGCGUGCAGGAUGACGGCCCUAUGGGUUGUAAACUGCUUUUAUACAGGAAUAAAGUUAGCCACGUGUGGUUAUUUGUAGGUACUGUAUGAAUAAGGACCGGCUAAUUCCGUGCCAGCCGCCGCCGUAA